This is a long non-coding RNA of Sinocyclocheilus grahami, 223 nucleotides long. RefSeq lists it as uncharacterized. NCBI's taxonomy places the organism in Eukaryota, Metazoa, Chordata, Actinopteri, Cypriniformes, Cyprinidae. The transcript is spliced from 3 exons. The record is from RefSeq and is a predicted model, not a curated record.
CAGAGAGAUGGGUUCAGAGGACGAUGAACUUGGUGGACUUAGGUGUAUUACAUCUUUAAAGUGGACACAGAGGCAAAGAAAGUGUCAGAAUCAGUCAGAACAGCAGAAACUACACCACUCCACCAACCAGAGGAAACAACUCUAGUCCUCUUCAAAGAGUCACAAGACUGGAAAGUGUCAGAGUCAGUCAGAAAAGCAGAAACGACAUCAUUCCACCAACCAG